ACUGCUAAUACCGCAUAAGACCACAGUACCGCAUGGUACAGUGAUCAAAGGAUUUAUUCGCUGAAGGAUGGCUUCGCGUCCGAUUAGGUAGUUGGUGAGGUAACGGCCCACCAAGCCUACGAUCGGUAGCCGGACUGAGAGGUUGAUCGGCCACAUUGGGACUGAGACACGGCCCAGACUCCUACGGGAGGCAGCAU
This 197-nucleotide ribosomal RNA is filed under the name uncultured bacterium. RNAcentral describes it as "partial 16S ribosomal RNA". It matches the Rfam family "Bacterial small subunit ribosomal RNA", at positions 159 to 353 of the family's 1533-position model. The record is from RNAcentral.